UAUCCCCAGAGCCCCUUCCCCCCCAACCCCUAUGGACAGCCACAGGUCUUCCCAGGACAAGACCCUGACUCACCCCAGCAUGGAAACUACCAGGAGGAGGGUCCCCCAUCCUACUAUGACAACCAGGACUUCCCUGCCACCAACUGGGAUGACAAGAGCAUCCGACAGGCCUUCAUCCGCAAGGUGGGUAGGGGCAUCUCCAAGGCGGUGCGGGGUGUGGCUCCCAGCAGAUGACUCUGAGCGGCUCCUUCCCCAGGUGUUCCUAGUGCUGACCUUGCAGCUGUCGGUGACCCUGUCCACGGUGUCUGUGUUCACUUUUGUUGCGGAGGUGAAGGGCUUUGUCCGGGAGAAUGUCUGGACCUACUAUGUCUCCUAUGCUGUCUUCUUCAUCUCUCUCAUCGUCCUCAGCUGUUGUGGGGACUUCCGGCGAAAGCACCCCUGGAACCUUGUUGCACUGGUAACCCUCAAACCUGAGCCUCUGUGCCUGGGUCCGGCCAUGCAGUCCCACACGCCCACUCUUCCGGGCCUGGUCACCGUGGUUCUCCUUGUGCUCAUGAGGCAGGGGCGGGCAGGGGUGGCAUGGGGGCACACACCCAAGGUCAGCCUGUGUCUCCCAACCACAGUCGGUCCUGACCGCCAGCCUGUCGUACAUGGUGGGGAUGAUCGCCAGCUUCUACAACACCGAGGCAGUCAUCAUGGCCGUGGGCAUCACCACAGCCGUCUGCUUCACCGUCGUCAUCUUCUCCAUGCAGACCCGCUACGACUUCACCUCAUGCAUGGGCGUGCUCCUGGUGAG
This 796-nucleotide small RNA is filed under the name Pan troglodytes (chimpanzee). RNAcentral's name for it is "retained intron". Lineage: Eukaryota; Metazoa; Chordata; Mammalia; Primates; Hominidae. The record is from RNAcentral.